Molecule: long non-coding RNA, 1437 nt
Organism: Peromyscus eremicus (cactus mouse)
Lineage: Eukaryota; Metazoa; Chordata; Mammalia; Rodentia; Cricetidae
Exons: 2
Source: RefSeq, a predicted model, not a curated record
GAAUUAGUGCCUUCUACCCAUACAACAAUCCGACAAAAGGGAGUUAAUAACUGGAAGGGACUGUGGUCCUGCUGGCCAGCCAUUGUAUCCCCAGCUGCUGUCACCCAGAGGAGGAGCAAAUAAUAAGUGUUUCGAUGAAUAAAUGAAAGCAUGGGUUUCCCACUUUGACAGGUAAGUAUGCCGAGGCUCAGCACUGAAAAGGAGCUGAUUCUGAACAGCCCUUUGUGCUGCUGUGUGUGCUGGCCGGUGCCACAAGCUCAGGUUUGUUUUCUGUGCCGCUCUGUCUCUUUCUGCAUUCAGUCUCCUGGAAGCACUGCCAUGUGGUACUCUUACCAGCCAGUAGGUGGCACUGUACUUAAUAGUUAUAUUUACGUUUAAUAUUUACAUUUAUAUUUCCCAAUUUGUGGCCCCUUCUAAAUAGAAGACCACCACUCUCGAGAAUGUCAGGUAGUUCUUCCCAGUUAAGGUGAAAUAACAAGGCAAACUGGCAUCAUCCCAGUGGCCUCGACGAAAGUAUAGUAUUCAAAACAAAUUGUGAAUUUUUUUUUUUGUUUGCCCAGUGUGGUGGCAUAACCUGCCAUUCCAUCACCUGAGAAGUAGAAAGAGGAGAGUCACAAACUUAAGUCAUCCUCAGACACACAGGGAGUUCAAGGUCAGCCUGGCUAUGAACCACGUCUCAAAAUAAACACACACAAAAUGGCUGCCGUUGGUAGAGUGGCCCUCAAAAUAUGUUCACGUGCUAAUUCCUGUCGGUGUGACCUCACUUGGAAAAAAAAUCUUCGCAGGUGUAAUAAGUGUCUCAAGAUGAGGUCACUCUGGAUUAUUCAGAUAAUUGCCUUAGUCCAAUGUCAAGUGUCCCUGUAAAAAGCAGAAGAGAAAGUUCUGCAAAGACAUAGUCAGAUACCGAGGUGAUGCAGUCAUAGGCCAAAGGCUGCCUGAAGCCACCAAAACCGGAAGAGGCAAUGGAGCUUUCUCUCUUGGACCCUUCGUGGGAAAAGACAGAUUGCCAGCACCUUGAUAUUGGCUCUCUGGCCUCCGGAAUCGUGAAAGAACAGUUUGCCUGUUUGCUGGUUUGUUUGUUUUUGUUUGAGUGGGUACAUGUGUGUGUACGUGUGAGCAUCUGCUAUGUGUGGAUGGGUGCCCUGGAGCCCAGAGGGUGUUGGAUUCGCCAGAGCUGGAACUGCAGGUGAUUGUGAGCUGCUCCACAUGAGUGUUGGGACCUGCACUCAGAUCCCCUGGAAGAACAGCAGGCACUCUUGAUGCUGAGCCAUCUCUACAGCCCCAAAGAACAGUGGCUUCUUACUGGAUUAAUGGCCUGCUCCAUGAAUCACCGUGACUGCCAGAGCAGAACAAAGUGCUGACCGGAGGUUUGUUUCUGCUCUCUCCUGACUCUGCCACCAUCCUGAGCUCCAGGCGAGGAGCAGCUGCCAGGGAAGU